AUCGAUGAAGAACGCAGCGAAAUGCGAUAAGUAAUGUGAAUUGCAGAAUUCAGUGAAUCAUCGAAUCUUUGAACGCACCUUGCGCCCUUUGGUAUUCCGAAGGGCAUGCCUGUUUGAGUGUCAUUAAAUUCUCAACCCAAAAAGCUUUUACUAGCUCUUUUGUGGCUUGGAUGUGGGGGUUAUUGCUGGCUUCCUUCAGUGGAUGGUCUGCUCCCCUUAAAUACAUUAGUGGGAUCUCUUGUGGACCGUCACUUGGUGUGAUAAUUAUCUAUGCCAGUUGACUUUGAAGCAAAACUUAUGGGAACCCGCUCAUAACCGUCUUCGGACAACUUUUGACAUUUUGACCUCAAAUCAGGUAGGACUACCCGCUGAACUUAAGCAUAUCAAUAAGCGGAGGAAAAGAAACUAACAAGGAUUCCCCUAGUAACUGCGAGUGAAGCGGGAAAAGCUCAAAUUUAAAAUCUGGCGGUCCCUGUGGCCGUCCGAGUUGUAAUUUAGAGAAGUGUUAUCCGCGCUGGACCGUGUACAAGUCUCCUGGAACGGAGCGUCAUAGAGGGUGAGAAUCCCGUCUUUGACACGGACUGCCAGGGCUCUGUGAUGCGCUCUCGAAGAGUCGAGUUGUUUGGGAAUGCAGCUCAAAAUGGGUGGUAAAUUCCAUCUAAAGCUAAAUAUUGGGGAGAGACCGAUAGCGAACAAGUACCGUGAGGGAAAGAUGAAAAGAACUUUGGAAAGAGAGUUAAACAGUACGUGAAAUUGCUGAAAGGGAAACGCUUGAAGUCAGUCGCGUUGCUCAGGAUUCAGCCUUGCUUUUUUGCUUGGUGUACUUCCUGUUCGACGGGUCAACAUCAAUUUUGGCCGGUGGAUAAAGGCACAGAGAAUGUGGCAUCUUCGGGUGUGUUAUAGCUCUGGGUCGCAUACAUCGGCUGGGAUUGAGGAACUCAGCACGCCGCAAGGCCGGGUACUUGUACCACGUACGUGCUUAGGAUGUUGGCAUAAUGGCUUUAAUCGACCCGUCUUGAAACACGG
This 1026-nucleotide ribosomal RNA is filed under the name uncultured fungus. RNAcentral describes it as "eukaryotic LSU rRNA". The stretch from base 342 to 1026 matches the Rfam family "Eukaryotic large subunit ribosomal RNA", at positions 1 to 664 of the family's 3401-position model. Lineage: Eukaryota; Fungi. The record is from RNAcentral.